Molecule: ribosomal RNA, 497 nt
Filed under: uncultured bacterium
Lineage: Bacteria
Description: partial 16S ribosomal RNA
Rfam family: Bacterial small subunit ribosomal RNA
Source: RNAcentral
GAUGAACGCUGGCGGCGUGCCUAAUACAUGCAAGUCGAGCGAACAGACGAGGAGCUUGCUCCUCUGACGUUAGCGGCGGACGGGUGAGUAACACGUGGAUAACCUACCUAUAAGACUGGGAUAACUUCGGGAAACCGGAGCUAAUACCGGAUAAUAUAUUUAACCGCAUGGUUCAAUAGUGAAAGACGGUUUUGCUGUCACUUAUAGAUGGAUCCGCGCCACAUUAGCUAGUUGGUAAGGUAACGGCUUACCAAGGCAACGAUGCGUAGCCGACCUGAGAGGGUGAUCGGCCACACUGGAACUGAGACACGGUCCAGACUCCUACGGGAGGCAGCAGUAGGGAAUCUUCCGCAAUGGGCGAAAGCUUGACGGAGCAACGCCGCGUGAGUGAUGAAGGUCUUCGGAUCGUAAAACUCUGUUAUUAGGGAAGAACAAAUGUGUAAGUAACUAUGCACGUCUUGACGGUACCUAAUCAGAAAGCCACGGCUAACUACGUG